UCACUAAAAUCUCAACUGGCUGUCUUAUAACCAUUGCAGCACCUCCACCAAGCCCGUUGCCCCUGCGUUGCAGAUUCUUCUCCGUGUCAAGCUUAGAAGAAAAAAGUUUUGAAUGCACUCGAGUCCCCAGGUCAUCAGUUGCUCAGCCUGCGUUUGAGGAAAAGAAAGGGGAAGAAGAGGACACAAGAGUGACACAGCAGGAAAAGAAAGGGGAAGAAGAGGACACAAGAGUGACACAAAAGCAGCCAGCUUGCCUGCGUAGCCCACCUCAGCCCAGCCCAGAAGGAAAGACAGCUAGCCAUGGAAAGACUGAUUUUUUGGGU
Protopterus annectens (West African lungfish) is the source of this 323-nucleotide long non-coding RNA. RefSeq lists it as uncharacterized. Lineage: Eukaryota; Metazoa; Chordata; Ceratodontiformes; Protopteridae. The transcript is spliced from 4 exons. The record is from RefSeq and is a predicted model, not a curated record.